GGGGAGUGGCGCAGCGGUAGCGCACCUGGUUUGGGACCAGGGGGUCGCAGGUUCAAAUCCUGUCUCCCC
This 69-nucleotide transfer RNA is filed under the name bacterium CG_4_9_14_3_um_filter_33_26. Its description in RNAcentral is "tRNA-Pro". It matches the Rfam family "tRNA". From Rfam's summary of the family: Transfer RNA (tRNA) molecules are approximately 80 nucleotides in length. Their secondary structure includes four short double-helical elements and three loops (D, anti-codon, and T loops). Further hydrogen bonds mediate the characteristic L-shaped molecular structure. tRNAs have two regions of fundamental functional importance: the anti-codon, which is responsible for specific mRNA codon recognition, and the 3' end, to which the tRNAs corresponding amino acid is attached (by aminoacyl-tRNA synthetases). tRNAs cope with the degeneracy of the genetic code in two manners: having more than one tRNA (with a specific anti-codon) for a particular amino acid; and 'wobble' base-pairing, i.e. permitting non-standard base-pairing at the 3rd anti-codon position. The record is from RNAcentral.